RNAcentral lists this unclassified non-coding RNA (259 nucleotides) under plant metagenome. RNAcentral describes it as "partial contains small subunit ribosomal RNA and internal transcribed spacer 1". The record is from RNAcentral.
AAGUCGUAACAAGUUUACGUGAGGGUGAAUCCGUGCUGGAAGGAAUCAUUAAAGAGAUAGGGUCAUUCAAUGGCCCCGGAAGCCGUCCAAUGCCCCUCUUGGUUAGUUAAUAAUCUACCCAUUGAUUGGCUUUGGGCGGGACCGUCUCGGCUAGCCUCCGAGCGGCACUAACCCUCGGGUUGGUGAGCGCCCGCCAGAGUCCAACCAAACUCUUGUAUUAAACCAGUCGUCUGAGUAUAAAAAUUUUAAUUAAAUAAAA